CGCGGCCUAUCAGCUUGUUGGUGGGGUGAUGGCCUACCAAGGCGACGACGGGUAGCCGGCCUGAGAGGGCGACCGGCCACAUUGGGACUGAGACACGGCCCAGACUCCUACGGGAGGCAGCAGUGGGGAAUAUUGCACAAUGGGCGCAAGCCUGAUGCAGCGACGCCGCGUGAGGGAUGACGGCCUUCGGGUUGUAAACCUCUUUCGCCAGGGACGAAGCCUUUUGGGGUGACGGUACCUGGAGAAGAAGCACCGGCUAACUACGUGCCAGCAGCCGCGGUAAUACGUAGGGUGCGAGCGUUGUCCGGAAUUAUUGGGCGUAAAGAGCUCGUAGGCGGUUUGUCGCGUCGGCCGUGGAAACUGGAGGCUUAACCUUCAGCGUGCGGUCGAUACGGGCAGACUUGAGUUCGGUAGGGGAGUCUGGAAUUCCUGGUGUAGCGGUGAAAUGCGCAGAUAUCAGGAGGAACACCGGUGGCGAAGGCGGGACUCUGGGCCGAUACUGACGCUGAGGAGCGAAAGCGUGGGGAGCGGACAGGAUUAGAUACCCUGGUAGUCCACGCUGUAAACGUUGGGCGCUAGGUGUGGGUAACAUUCCACGUUGUCCGUGCCGUAGCUAACGCAUUAAGCGCCCCGCCUGGGGAGUACGG
RNAcentral lists this ribosomal RNA (647 nucleotides) under uncultured Actinomycetes bacterium. RNAcentral describes it as "bacterial SSU rRNA". It matches the Rfam family "Bacterial small subunit ribosomal RNA", at positions 232 to 885 of the family's 1533-position model. Lineage: Bacteria; Bacillati; Actinomycetota; Actinomycetes. The record is from RNAcentral.